Molecule: non-coding RNA, 4439 nt
Organism: Triticum urartu
Lineage: Eukaryota; Viridiplantae; Streptophyta; Magnoliopsida; Poales; Poaceae
Source: RefSeq, a predicted model, not a curated record
AACGGACGGACGCAACGCCCGGUCUCCGCCUGCCCUAAUCGCGACUCCAGGCCGUCGUCCCCAACACACCAUGAGGACGAAGAUGGCGGCGGCGCUGGUCCGGGCCUCCGGGGGAAUCGGACCUCCUACGCCUGCCCGAUCCUCCUACUUCUCCUCGCGCUGCUCCUCGCUGUCCCCGCUCACGGCCAUCUCCAACGCCUCCUCCCACGCCUAUGCCUUCGCGGGCCGUCAGCCGGUGCCCGCCCCGGAUCCCACCUUCUUCGACGAUGUCGUCGACGCCAUCAUCGACAAGUACGGCUGGGACCCCGACGCCGAGGUCCGGGUUUGGCCGCUCGACACCGAGGGCGCGCUCGUCGACGCCGUGCAGUGCUACGAGUUCCCCGCCCGCAUGGGGCCCCGCGGUCGCGCUGGCGUGGGCCUCCGACGGGGCCGUCGACUGGAGCCGCCCCGACGCCCCCGCGGUGGAGGAGGUGGUCGGGCCCGACAGAGUCGACUUCGUGACCGGCGAUGGCGACCUGGCGUUCGGCUCCGGCGUUAGGGUCCGUGACAUGGUAGGGCCGUUCGAGCUGGUGGUCUGCGAUGGCGCUGGCAGGGGCCGCGCAGAGCUCUAGUUGCCGUCGUGUCUGCACCACCGCCCGUUGAUUAGAAUGCAUGUUCCGGCAGUCCACGCAUCAAUCACUGGCAAAUUAAAAAGGCAUGUACGCACUAAACAGAAAUUCUGUGUAGAUGAUUCUUGUAUAUGGCAGUGGCACACGCGCUAGUUGAUGAAGCCGCUGGGCCGGAAGGCCCUCUCAUUGCCAUGCUAAUGAGUAUCACGACGAACAUGUCCCCCACCUCAAUGCCUCCCUGUCGGCGGUGAGGUCUGGCCGGAUCUGUACAACCCGCAAUAUUAGUAAAGAAAAAGAAUAGCUUGAUUGUUCUAUGACUCUGUCGUGGAUAGGUAAUUUGCAUCAGAGGUUUAUAGGAUCUCCGCCAUUAGUUUCCCAUUAGAAAAUUGAGUUACUAAAUUAAGGAAGAUGUCCAAAGAGAGGUAAUCGAUGGCAUGAUAUGCAUCAGAAGAUCCUCAUCACUUAAGUAGUACUCCACCAGUCCACCUACAGUUUUGGAACAUAUAAAAACGGCAUCAAAGUGCUACCUGGCACCAAAUAAAGAGUUCAGGUCAGGGUGUUAUACUGCAGCUAAGCAGUAUAGUCUGAAUUUCUAAGUUUGAGGAGUAUUUCAGUGUUUCUAAAGAAAGGGACAAGGAUCAGGGCUAUAAUAUUGUUGAAAGACUCAGAGACAUGUACCAUGAAUUGGUUCCGCAAGCUGCGACACACAUGGUCUGCCUCCGUGUCGUCCUACCUGCUUCAGGGCCCUCUACUUCUUCCCCCAAGAUUGCCAUUAUGAUUAACAAAUCUGACGAGAGCAAUUUAAUUGGUGACACAUCAUAUUUAUUCUGCAACUGCAUGUGAAUUCUCAUCUUGCGCCUACCUCUUUUGCUUACCAGGUUGCAAAAUUUCAUUAACUUAUUUGUCGAAGUAUCCUGCAAAAUCAUUUCUCUUAUGGGAAUUAGCCUAUUGUAUUGAUCUAACAAGGUCCACUUCAACCUACGUAACAAUUAUGCAGUGAAGAUGGAGAGCUUUAUGCAAAAAAAGAAAGAAAAAAAAACUAGCACAUGAUCUAUGGAGAAUAAUUUUGACAGCAACUCCAACUAUGCAAUGGAGUACACUUGAUGCAAUCAAUUCUGGUGUGUGUGUGUGUGUGUGAUGCAAUGACGUAUGAAUAACAACAGAAAAAUAUGCCUGAGGAGUAUGGGUAUGUAGUAACAUUUCUCUGUUAUUUUCGGAACAACUUGGAAUAUCUUAUUGGUAGUUUAUAUACAAAGUCAUUUUGAUAAUUAUCAUGCUGCAAACCUACAUAGUUUUCUAUAUUAAUCAUGUCAUGCUAAAAUAUAAAAGUUAUAGCUUCAAUAAAUUGAUAAAAUACAGAUUUGGGAUUUACAUAUUUAUUGAAUAUAUAUUUACAUAUGAAUACGUCGUUACGGUCGGACUCUAGCGAGCAGCAGUGGUUGUUAUACCCCACCAGGUAACUUGCUACUGUUGGUGAAACUCUCUUGUGCAGAAACGCCGAUCUUGAAAUCUUGAUCCUACUUAUAGGCCGUAUUGCAAGCAAUGUACUCAUGUUUUACUGAACAUGUAGGUAACAUGAAAUUUUGAUCUUCUCCCAUCACUGAAAGUUGUGUUUUAAACUUGCAAAAGCAUUGCUAAGCCUAUUCAAUCAUUUCUAUUUUACCCUAGAUUUCACUCCAUACCAUAAUUGAGAUACAAAUGGGCGUUACUGAUGUCGAGGAGAAGAGUUAGAAGCUCUUGGAUUGAGAAUCUGAGAUUUAUAUAGGUUCAGUAGAACAAAAAGUUUCGGAUUCACUACUCCAGAUACAACGGGAGACCUCUGAUGUCAUAGUUGGCACGGACAUUUAGCAAUAAAUUUGUGCCUGCCUGAACAUUAUUACUAUUAAACUAUGAAUAAUGAUUUUUGCAACUGUAGGAGAAUUUCUUUGCCGCAUCACAAGAAAAACAAUUUGAAACAGAAAAGUGUACUGAACCUUCUAAUUAUUGUAUGAACUUGCUUCACUUAAUUUAAGAAGUACACAUACUGCUAGCAUUUGCAUCACACCGGGCAGCCUAUUAUCGAGAGAUCUGACUUCAUCAGGAUUGCGGGUUCGUGACUUAAUCCUGAUUGGGUAUGCUGGCUGCCCGUACAGGAUUAACGUGCCCUAUAUGCGGCGACCCGCGGCUACUCCUCCCAGCCCCGGAUAUGCUCUUCCGCCACCUGCGACCCGUAGCUCCAAUGAUCCACGACAAGGGAUGACGACCAACUCGGCUGGCCCUACCUCGUGCAGCUCCCUCUAAGGCUGCAGCAGCCUUCGCACGAGGCCACUACGGUGCCACCUAUGUUGUCCUGAAGUUCCCUUAGAUUCGACAGUUUCAGUUUCAUCAGUUUUGUCAGAUUUAGUUUCAUCAGAUUCAGAAAAUUCAGUUCAUCAGUUUCAUCAAAGUUUCAGUUGUCAGUUAAUUUGUCAGGCACGUUGGCACUCGCGCACGUCGUCCGCUUCCUCACAUCACUCGCUCACAUAGCCCACCUGCCGAUCCAAACAACAGCUUGGUCAGGGAUCGGACUGGACCAGACGGUGUCCACCAUGACCUCAAGGCGAUGCCCGAGUCCAAGUGCGUAUAAGUUACACCAGCCUUUGAUUUAUAUAUCCACCGUCCACUGAUCAGUGACCUGAAAAGGUUGGGCGCUCUGAGCUAGCACAUAAGCUGAUUGAUGAGAUGGAUUGAAAUGCUUUUGAUUUGUUAGGCCGUCAAUAUUCCAAACUGAAGUCCAAGGAAGAACGAUCAGGAACAGCAGGUAAGAAGACCAUGAGUUAGUUGUCUUACAGGCAUGCACAUGCACAAGGUGCUGAUACAUAGUUGCAGAUUUCCAAUGGAUGCUGGUAUUGUCGGCUGACACCUCCGGGGCUGUACAUCAUGAUGGUUACCAAGACACGACAAUGAUCUCAAUGCUACAAACCUGAAUGGAAUACCAUAACUGCAGACCUGAUCACAAUGCUACAGACUUGAAUGAAAUACCAUGAUUGCAGGCCUUUGCUGAUUUGCGUUUUCCAUUGAUCUUCAGUGCACUAAAGAAUAGUGAAAUCUUGGCAUCUAAUUCAUUUUGCAGGCUAUGCUUUUAACUCAAUGAAAAUGUGCAUUGUUAGUUGACCUUAUUGUCUGUUUGUAGCUAAUUGGGAGACAAACAUGGGCAAUGAGCAGCUUUUUUGAUGACAGUGCAAUCAAGGACUCACAUAUUCACUGAUGAAUCUACCUCUAUUUGGUACUGUGUAUAUACCUGAAAAUAGUAGCAUCGGCUUUGCAUAUUUAUUUUCUGAAUCAGCAACACUGUACUAGGUUCUUCAUCGGCAAUGUACAUAGUGAUGCUUAACUGCCGGUUUGAAUUAUUGGAUGCAUCUGUUGUGAGACAUUCAUGUGUUGUCAUAGUGACUUGCCUGCGCUCAUUGUUGAUCGCUAAGAAGUGAGUUGGUCCAGAGAUUGCAGCUGAGAUGGAGCUCAGCAGGACAACUAGACAUGCACAGCUUGGUGUUAUCCACAGAGGAGAUCACAUUUCCAGUCCAGUCAUAAAUUAUUAUAAUUAUUUUACUCAUGUUCAUACUAAAUUUGAAACGGGUCAAUCCACAAGCUUCUGAUCCUCGGUUCAUUUUUGAACUAUAUCCAUGUGUUCUAUCAAGGAUCAUUUUGGCACAUAUGGAAAAGACAAGCAAUUUUGUUACCAGAAUUAUCAUAUUUGUAAGGUCAAUCACCCAUGGGUUCUGCACUUCACUAGAAAUAAUUUGUACCCUUGACCUGAUAAGAUGUUGUUGUAUUAUGAAUUAUUCAUAGUAUGAGACCAAAUUUCUUGUUUUA